ACCCCCAGAAAUGGAUCUUGCACGAAGAACUGCCUUUAGAGGGAAGCAAGCUGGGGGAGAUACUUUGGACUCAAAUCUUGGGACAGCAUCUCAACCUUCUUCAGCCCAAAGCCAUCAGUAAUUUGAUACUGUACUCCGGGCAAGCAGCAACCCUGUGAGCGACGUGGAGGCCUGGCCAUAUAAAUGCAUCUCUGACAGCUUCCUGUUGCUCCCUAAUUUGAGCUUUGGCAGGCCACCAGAGGAAGUGAAUCCCUGAGACUCUCCUGAUGCAAGACGAGCAAAGAAAAGGAAGCAGGCAAGGAGGGAAAAAGCAAUGGCAACAAAUACUGGUGAUCUCUUACAUGGGCAAGAUUGCAAAAUAGGAAGAGACCAAGGAGAAAGACAAACCACUUCUUUAAAGGUGAUGACUUCAUUUUGGGAGCAGACCCACCUCGACACCCAAGCGCCACGU
This is a long non-coding RNA of Calidris pugnax (ruff), 451 nucleotides long. RefSeq lists it as uncharacterized. The record is from RefSeq and is a predicted model, not a curated record. The transcript is spliced from 4 exons. NCBI's taxonomy places the organism in Eukaryota, Metazoa, Chordata, Aves, Charadriiformes, Scolopacidae.